Molecule: long non-coding RNA, 452 nt
Organism: Chelonia mydas (Green sea turtle)
Lineage: Eukaryota; Metazoa; Chordata; Testudines; Cheloniidae
Exons: 3
Source: RefSeq, a predicted model, not a curated record
CCACCUUCCAGCCUAUGGACGUUGUUCCACAGGAUGACAGUGAUGUGCACUAGGGAGAGCCCAGUCAUUGGAGCUGCCCAGCUGCCCUAGCUCUAGUUAAAGCCAGCCUCCCUUCUUUGGGGGCUUGGAGCAUGAGAGUCUGCCUGAAGCAGGGUGGAGCACUUCGUGCCAGACCAUGGCUUCUUCCCCAUUGGCCGCCUGCCCUCCCCAGCCAUGAUGGCUGAGGAAGUCCCCAAGGGCCCCUCCAAGCCCAUCCGAGCCUGGGAGGAGACGAAACUUCCCCCAGGGAAGUAAGCGGAAGAGCCCACAGCAGCAGGAGGAGCUGUGUGUGCCUCAGCCCUUCUGUGCUGAUUCACCAUCACCUGCUAACACCUCCAGCUUUUUGGGGCCAGACUCGGAGGAGAAAGAGGCCCUGAACUACAUCGACGGCUUUCUCAAGGGCAAUGAACAGG